UACGUAGGGGGCAAGCGUUGUCCGGAAUCAUUGGGCGUAAAGCGCGUGUAGGCGGCCCGGUAAGUCCGCUGUGAAAGUCGGGGGCUCAACCCUCGGAUGCCGGUGGAUACUGUCGGGCUAGAGUGCGGGAGAGGCGAGUGGAAUUCCUGGUGUAGCGGUGAAAUGCGCAGAUAUCAGGAGGAACACCAAUUGCGAAGGCAGCUCGCUGGGACGUAACUGACGCUGAGACGCGAAAGCGUGGGGAGCAAACAGG
This 253-nucleotide ribosomal RNA is filed under the name uncultured bacterium. RNAcentral describes it as "partial 16S ribosomal RNA". It matches the Rfam family "Bacterial small subunit ribosomal RNA", at positions 524 to 776 of the family's 1533-position model. The record is from RNAcentral.